Long non-coding RNA from Mus pahari (shrew mouse), 1287 nucleotides. RefSeq lists it as uncharacterized. The record is from RefSeq and is a predicted model, not a curated record. The transcript is spliced from 3 exons. Lineage: Eukaryota; Metazoa; Chordata; Mammalia; Rodentia; Muridae.
GCUUUAGUCCUCUGCCUUGCUACAUCUGAAGGAGCACGCCUAGGCUGGAGGCCCCGGAGCACCUUGGGAAGAGGGGAGUAGGGCUGGAACUCACGCUCCCAUCUUCGAUGCUGAGGAUCAUCCAUGGUCUGCCUCUCCCUCCCUCAGCCCCGGCUCCUCUACAGAUCCUGAUUCUGGCACUGCUGUAUGAUGGGCUUGCUGCCUGAAAACAUGGCUCCCCCGCUGCAUCGGGACGGAUCGCAAACAGCUCGUCCUUGUGUGCCUGCCUAGGUGUGGGUGUGGGAGCCUUCAGGGACUUCCUGAGAAGCACGCUGGGGCAUAUGAAGCCUUGGCUUCCUGUUUGGCUCCUUGAGUGGUCUGGGUUGAUUAAGAUUUCAGUUGCCCUGGGUGCAGAGCACGCUAGAGGCGAGGAGACCAUGGACGGGGAGCAAAGACCUCCCCGGGAUGGCUGAAGCUGACAGAAGGCUGGCAAUCUGUUGAGAUGCUCAUGGGCAGCCAGGAGACCAGCAGGACCACUGCACCAAGGCACCCUUGACUGGCAUGAAGCUUGGGUACCCAGAUCUCAGAGCUCCCCCAGACCCCACUCUCUCCACAACCUAAAUGGGAGCAGGUAGACAGGGCCUUCAAACGCCCUGGCCAGGACCAGGGACAGAUUAGAAGGCUUAGAGGAUGGGAUGCCCUCCUCCAAACUCCCAGGCACAACGUUCCAGAGCACCUCCACACUGGAUCCCUAGAAGGAGGACCAUCUGGAUGGCAAUCCUCCAGGCCCCUGGCUCCUCCUGUGGUCAGGAAUACUCACUAGUACAGGCAGGGAUCACCAGCCCUGCUCUGGGAGAGACUAGGCCUCCAGCAAGCCACAGAGCCUGCUCCAGGGACAAUUGGGCAUGGUUAGAAACAGAUGCUAACCCUGGAACUCUAAAACGCAGGGUAGAAAUCAACCCCUGACCUCAGGAAGUUCCCAGUCUGGUGGGAGACACCACUCACCGUUAUGCUUCUCAGUCUAAGGGGUAGGGACUCCAGCCCUCAGGGAACUACGAAUAUCCUGGAUUUCAAAAGCAUGUUUUCAGGCACAGGAAAAGUAUCUUGACUGCCUGAUAGAGGGGGGUGGAAGAUAUCCAGUUAAGCUGAAGAGAAGGCAACAAAUAUCCUAGCAUAAGUAUAUCCCAUACAGCAAUUUGAGAUAUAAUUAUACCUAGCUUCAUUCUGUGUAACUGGAUAUCCUGUGUUAUUUGCCAAAUUACAAGCAAGCGUCCAGCUUGAGACAGACAGACACAGCUCCUCAUGACU